This 215-nucleotide ribosomal RNA is filed under the name uncultured bacterium. RNAcentral describes it as "partial 16S ribosomal RNA". It matches the Rfam family "Bacterial small subunit ribosomal RNA", at positions 1277 to 1500 of the family's 1533-position model. The record is from RNAcentral.
GAAAGCCUGUCUCAUUCGGAUUGGAGUCUGCAACUCGACUCCAUGAAGCUGGAUUCGCUAGUAAUCGCGCAUCAGCCAUGGCGCGGUGAAUACGUUCCCGGGCCUUGUACACACCGCCCGUCAAGCCAUGGGAGCCGGGGGUGCCUGAAGUACGUGACCGCGAGGAGCGUCCUAGGGCAAAACUGGUGACUGGGGCUAAGUCGUAACAAGGUAAC